UAGCGAUUGCAGAGCGGCGGUUCUAUGCCCAGCGCUAGAUUCUGAAAAGUCUUCUCACCCUGGAAUUACUCAAUGCUGAAAAUAUUCAAGAGAAUAUUAAAGAAUCUGCAAGCACAAUGGAUGGUUUCUAUGAUCAGCAAGUACCCUUCAUGGUCCCUGGGAAACCUUGCACUGAAGAGUGUCGAGGGAGGCCAGUAAAUGAUAGGAAACGGAAGUUUCAGGACACUGACCUGGCCCAUGAUUCUGAAGAAUUGUUUCAGGACCUUAGCCAGCUGCAAGAGGCUUGGUUAGCUGAAG
This is a long non-coding RNA of Gekko japonicus, 297 nucleotides long. RefSeq lists it as uncharacterized. Lineage: Eukaryota; Metazoa; Chordata; Lepidosauria; Squamata; Gekkonidae. The record is from RefSeq and is a predicted model, not a curated record. The transcript is spliced from 4 exons.